This 497-nucleotide ribosomal RNA is filed under the name uncultured bacterium. Its description in RNAcentral is "partial 16S ribosomal RNA". It matches the Rfam family "Bacterial small subunit ribosomal RNA", at positions 28 to 507 of the family's 1533-position model. The record is from RNAcentral.
GAUGAACGCUGGCGGCGUGCCUAAUACAUGCAAGUCGAGCGAACAGACGAGGAGCUUGCUCCUCUGACGUUAGCGGCGGACGGGUGAGUAACACGUGGAUAACCUACCUAUAAGACGGGGAUAACUUCGGGAAACCGGAUCUAAUACCGGAUAAUAUAUUGAACCGCAUGGAUCAAUAGUUCAAGACGGUUUUGCUGUCACUUAUAGAUGGUUCCGCGCCGCAUUAGCUAGUUGGUAAGGUAACGGCUUACCAAGGCAACGAUGCGUAGCCGACCUGAGAGGGUGAUCGGCCACACUGGAACUGAGACACGGUCCAGACUCCUACGGGAGGCAGCAGUAGGGAAUCUUCCGCAAUGGGCGAAAGCCUGACGGAGCAACGCCGCGUGAGUGAUGAAGGUCUUCGGAUCGUAAAACUCUGUUAUUAGGGAAGAACAAAUGUGUAAGUAACUAUGCACGUCUUGACGGUACCUAAACAGAAAGCCACGGCUAACUACGUG